AUGGGCUCGAAGCAGCAGCCGGCGCUCCGGCCGAGCUCCACUGACGGAGGCUGCGGCGGCGACGGCAGGGCGGCGUCGGUGAGUGAGCGGUCGAGCGUGACCAACGCGUCCUUCAGGGUGUACUACAGCCUGCGCGCCGGCGCCGUGCCGUUCGUCUGGGAGUCCGCGCCCGGCACGCCAAAGAGAGGUGCGGCCGCCGUCUCCCCGGAGUCGUCCCUCUCCGCCAGUACCAAAGCGACCAGCGGCGGAGCUGCCGACGCUGGUGUUGCUACGGUGCUGCCUCCGCCCCCCUCGCCGCCGCCGUCGUACCAGUCGCCGUUCCAUGGGAAGGGGAGGAGGCCGUCCUGGACGGCGACGCCGGGAGGCAUUGUGAGGGCAUUGCUUGGCGUGCUUGGGCUCAGGAAGAGACACCGCCGGUCGCGCCGGCGCCCCGACAUGUCAUGUCUUUGA
This 450-nucleotide ribosomal RNA is filed under the name Triticum aestivum (bread wheat). Its description in RNAcentral is "partial small subunit ribosomal RNA". Lineage: Eukaryota; Viridiplantae; Streptophyta; Magnoliopsida; Poales; Poaceae. The record is from RNAcentral.